RNAcentral lists this ribosomal RNA (301 nucleotides) under uncultured bacterium. Its description in RNAcentral is "partial 16S ribosomal RNA". It matches the Rfam family "Bacterial small subunit ribosomal RNA", at positions 509 to 807 of the family's 1533-position model. The record is from RNAcentral.
CAGUCGCCGCGGGAAUACGUAGGUGGCAAGCGUUGUCCGGAAUUAUUGGGCGUAAAGGGCUCGCAGGCGGUUUCUUAAGUCUGAUGUGAAAGCCCCCGGCUCAACCGGGGAGGGUCAUUGGAAACUGGGAAACUUGAGUGCAGAAGAGGAGAGUGGAAUUCCACGUGUAGCGGUGAAAUGCGUAGAGAUGUGGAGGAACACCAGUGGCGAAGGCGACUCUCUGGUCUGUAACUGACGCUGAGGAGCGAAAGCGUGGGGAGCGAACAGGAUUAGAUACCCCCGUAGUCCCUGUCUCUUAUAC